Molecule: unclassified non-coding RNA, 1635 nt
Filed under: Hevea brasiliensis (rubber tree)
Lineage: Eukaryota; Viridiplantae; Streptophyta; Magnoliopsida; Malpighiales; Euphorbiaceae
Source: RNAcentral
AAGUUGCAAUGUUCAAAAUGAAACCCGAAAUGCACUAUGGAGAGAAGGAUUGUCCAGUUGCAGCUCCAGAUAACUUUCCCAAGGAUUCUGAGCUUCAUUUUGAGAUUGAGUUGAUUGAAUUCUCCAAAGUGAAGGUGAUCACUGAUGAUUUGGGAGUCCUAAAGAAGGUUAUAGAAGAAGGACAAAGCUGGGAAACACCACGGGAACCUUAUGAAGUAAAAGCUUGGAUUUCGGCGAAGUCAGCAGAUGGCAAAGUGAUUCUAUCGUGGACCAAGGAUGAACCAUAUUUCUUCACAUUUGGUAAACCUGAGGUACCCAAAGGUCUUGAACUGGCGAUAGCAACCAUGCCACGUGGAGAGAAAGCAGUCAUUUAUGUUAAAAGCCAAUAUUAUACAGAAUCUACUUUAAUGCCUGUGGUAGAAGGUGUUGACGAAGUCCAUUUUGAGGUGGAACUUGUUCAUUUUAUUCAGGUGCGAGAUGUGCUUGGAGACGGACGCCUCAUAAAACGCCGAAUACGUGAUGGAAGAGGUGAAUUUCCUAUGGAUUGCCCUCUGCAAGACAGUCUACUGCGUGUACACUACAAAGGUUUGCUUCUUAAUGAAGAAAAGACGGUGUUCUAUGAUACAAGAAUCGACAACAAUGGUCAGCCUUUAGAGUUCAGCUCUGGAGAAGGGCUUGUUCCUCAAGGAUUUGAAAUGUCCGUUCGUUUGAUGUUGCCUGGAGAGGUAUCUCUUGUAACAUGCCCGCCUGAUUAUGCCUAUGACAAAUUUGAAAGGCCAGCUAAUGUUCCUGAAGGUGCUUAUGUGCAAUGGGAGAUUGAGCUUCUCGACUUCAACACACCGAAGGACUGGACUGGUUUCAGUUUCAGAGAAAUAAUGGACGAUGUAGAGAAGAUCAAAGGCACGGGUAACAGGCUUUUCAAGGAAGAGAAAUUUGAACUUGCCAAAGCAAAGUAUGAGAAGGUACUUCGUGAGUUUAAUCAUGUUCAUCCUCAGGAUGACGAGGAAGGAAAGGAAUUUGCAAACACCAGGAAUUUGUUGCAUCUCAAUGUUGCUGCCUGCUUACUGAAAUUGGGAGAGCAUAAGAAGUCUAUUGAGACGUGCAAUAAGGUGUUAGAUGCGAAUCCGGUUCAUGUGAAAGCUCUCUAUCGACGUGGGAUGGCUUACAUGGCUUCUGGAGAUUAUGAAGAAGCAAGAGCUGAUUUUAAUAAGAUGAUGAGCAUCGACAAGUCAUCUGAGGCGAGUGCAAAGGCAGCUCUUUUGAAACUUAAAAAGGAGGAACAGGAAGUCGAGAGGAGGGUUCGUAAGCAAUUUAAGGGAUUGUUUGACAAAAGACCUGGAGAAAUCGCAGAAGUUGGGACUAAUGAUGGACAAGAUGAUGAGGCUACAAGUGAAAAUGUUGAAAAGGAUGAUCUUGACAAUUUAGACGACCAAGAAGAGAGAACUCGUCAGACUACAGUGCCUCCCCCUCCGCCAGGUAUUCUUUCUCAAUUGAGAAAGCUUUUCGCGUCUGUUGGCCUGAACCGAUGCACCAUACUGUGAGUAUUCAAAACGAUGAAAUACCAUGCGACCAUCGCGCAACAUCAUUUCAUUUCUGCUCAGUCAAUUUCUCCAAAGAGAACAUAGAAGGUGAUUA